This is a long non-coding RNA of Herpailurus yagouaroundi (jaguarundi), 552 nucleotides long. RefSeq lists it as uncharacterized. The transcript has 4 exons. The record is from RefSeq and is a predicted model, not a curated record. NCBI's taxonomy places the organism in Eukaryota, Metazoa, Chordata, Mammalia, Carnivora, Felidae.
CUGCUUCCCCCACUGGGGCCCUGUAAUCACCACACAGUGACUGACUCAGCCCUUCCUUCCCCUCUCAGCCCCUUCUUCCUGGAAACCAUCCACAUCAGCCCCAGCCCCCGUGGGCCCAGAGGGAGAGAACUGGAAGCCGCCUUCUCCAAGGGAAGCCUUCCGAACCCCCGGUUGAUGUCAAGUCCCCAUGUGGCACCCUCGGAGAAACCCUGGGCCACUGUCGCGUCCGCACCACUGUUAACUGAUUCACCCGCACCCCCCACUGGACAGUAGCCUCCAGCGUCUCCCCAGAGUGCCUGCAACAUAGAUUCCCCACACGCCGCACAGGAUUUCCAACGGGAGAGGAGCGUGGACGGGACGAUUGAUUCUCCGAGCCCUCCUGCCCCUGACUCCUAGCCCUUCCAUUCCCAUCCGCAGAGGUCAGGGAGGCAAUGUUCUUCGUUCUACCGGGAAAAAGAGAGAGCGGAAGAAGAUUUAAACUCAGAAGUUCUCCUCAGAAUUUACUUUUACUUCUCCAAAAGUUGUUUCCGUGUCUGAUAUCAAGUAGAAAAA